Molecule: ribosomal RNA, 274 nt
Filed under: uncultured bacterium
Lineage: Bacteria
Description: partial 16S ribosomal RNA
Rfam family: Bacterial small subunit ribosomal RNA
Source: RNAcentral
AUACGGAGGGUGCAAGCGUUGUUCGGAAUCACUGGGCGUAAAGGGCGCGCAGGCGGUUGGGUAAGUCAGAUGUGAAAGCCCACGGCCCAACCGUGGAAGUGCAUUUGAAACUGCCAGACUUGAGUACCAGAGGGGAAAGUGGAAUUCCCGGUGUAGAGGUGAAAUUCGUAGAUAUCGGGAGGAAUACCGGUUGCGAAGGCGACUUUCUGGCUGGAUACUGACGCUGAGGCGCGAAAGCGUGGGGAGCAAACAGGAUUAGAAACCCGAGUAGUCC